RNAcentral lists this unclassified non-coding RNA (696 nucleotides) under Zea mays. Its description in RNAcentral is "misc RNA Zm00001eb303520". The record is from RNAcentral. Lineage: Eukaryota; Viridiplantae; Streptophyta; Magnoliopsida; Poales; Poaceae.
CGACAAGGGCGGGGAACACGUGGCAGGGGCAGGAGGCAGUGUGGGAGGUCUGGACGGUGAUAUUAGAAUCUUAAUAGAUUAGUAUAGAUCCAUGAAUAAUAUACGCCCUUCUUAUUCGACCACGCACGGUACGGGGAGCAGUAUCAUCACCAUGGUCACCGCAUCACUCGGCGUCGAGCGCGUUGCAGAAGCGCCUGCCGUGGGCGGUGAGCAAGCCGCACUCGGCCGCGGCGACGAGGGCGGGGGCGAAGCGGGCCUGCGCGACCCGGCACCUCUGCUGGGCCCCCGGCUCCGCGCCCACGACGAGGGGCGUCUCCAUCAUCACCCGCAGCGCCCGGCACCGGCACUCCGCCGGGAUGUCCCGCAGCUGGCUGCAGCACGUCUCCUUGAGGACGGCCCGGUUCGGGAGCAUGGCCUCGAUCACGUCGCAGCUCCGGCUCGCAACGUACCAGGUGCAGCCGGACAGCGGACGGUACGGGAUGGCCUGCCCCGGCGCGCAGUAGCUCGGGGCUUCCGCGGCGCCGCCGGCCACGGCGAGCAGGGCGGCGGCCGCCGAGAGGACGAGACGGCUGGUGGUGGUGCAGCACGCCAUUCUUUCUUGGCGUUACUGCUAGUGUCUAGUGUGCUACUGGAUUUCUUCUUGGUCCAGCCCAGUCGUCUGAUGGUAUAUGUGUUUGGUUACUCUAUGGAAUCUUG